GACGAACGCUGGCGGCGUGCUUAACACAUGCAAGUCGAACGGAAAGGCCCUGCUUUUGUGGGGUGCUCGAGUGGCGAACGGGUGAGUAACACGUGAGUAACCUGCCCUUGACUUUGGGAUAACUUCAGGAAACUGGGGCUAAUACCGGAUAGGAGCUCCUGCUGCAUGGUGGGGGUUGGAAAGUUUCGGCGGUUGGGGAUGGACUCGCGGCUUAUCAGCUUGUUGGUGGGGUAGUGGCUUACCAAGGCUUUGACGGGUAGCCGGCCUGAGAGGGUGACCGGCCACAUUGGGACUGAGAUACGGCCCAGACUCCUACGGGAGGAAGCAGUGGGGAAUAUUGCACAAUGGGCGGAAGCCUGAUGCAGCAACGCCGCGUGCGGUAUGACGGCCUUCGGGUUGUAAACCGCUUUCGCCUGUGACGAAGCGUGAGUGACGGUAAUGGGUAAAGAAGCACCGGCUAACUACGUG
This 468-nucleotide ribosomal RNA is filed under the name uncultured bacterium. Its description in RNAcentral is "partial 16S ribosomal RNA". It matches the Rfam family "Bacterial small subunit ribosomal RNA", at positions 28 to 507 of the family's 1533-position model. The record is from RNAcentral.